RNAcentral lists this small nuclear RNA (370 nucleotides) under Octodon degus (degu). Its description in RNAcentral is "7SK RNA (ENSODEG00000025745.1)". The stretch from base 1 to 308 matches the Rfam family "7SK RNA". From Rfam's summary of the family: 7SK was discovered as an abundant small nuclear RNA in the mid-70s but a possible function has only recently been suggested. Lineage: Eukaryota; Metazoa; Chordata; Mammalia; Rodentia; Octodontidae. The record is from RNAcentral.
GGUAGCAAGGCUAAUCUGGCUGUGACAUCUGUACCACACUGGUCUCCAGGGUUGAUUUGGGUGAUCUGGCUGGCUAGGUGAAUGUCUCCUCCCUGCCAAACCAUCAUUGUUUGUAGCCCUGCUGCAGCUGCAUGCUCGGUAGCAGAGAAUGCCUGCCCCUGCAGAGCACGACCCUUUCCUCAGUCUCUAAGAGUACAUGAGUCAAGGGUGUAACAGCUGGAAGGUCCAAACAAGCUCUCAGGAAAGUGGCUUCCACCUUAGUGGGCCCUUGGGGAAGUGGGUCCUAAAUCAGUUAAGAUCCUUGAACUAAGUUACAGCCUUCUGGGAAAGGGACAGUGCUCAGAUGAAAUAGAACACUAUGUACUGUUUC